UGCCUUUGGAGGGUAUAUCUCCUCUCUGGCUCUUUCACUUCUUUUCUGCUACCUGGAUGACAGGAAGUGAGCAACUUUCCAUGCCCUUCCACCAUGAUGUUUCUGCCUUGGAGCCAGCUAACCAUGGACUCAAACCUCUGAAACCAUGAGUCAAAAUAAACCUCUCCUCCUUUAAAUUGUUUUCUCAGGUAUUUGGUCAUAGGGACAAAAAGCUAAUAUAUUAAGCAAGGACCUUCAGGUAGAGAGGUUGUCCAGAAUUAUCGGGGUGGACCCAGUAUCAUCACAUGGGAUUUAGAAGCAAGACCUUUUCCAGCGGUAGACAGAGUGAGAUGCAACUGGAGAAGAGAGGCAGAGAGACUCGGUGUUGCUGACUUUGACGAUGGAGCCAGGAGGCCGUAAUCUGAGGGGCAGGGGCAGCCACUAGAAGCUGAGAAGGCCAGGAAACAGACUCUCCACUAAGGUUUACCAGAAGGGACAGCAGCCCUACCAUCACCUUGGCUGGGGCUCAGCGAGAUCCAAGUCGGACUUCUGACCUGUGGAACUGCAAGUGCUGAUGACAGUAACAGCAGUGGAUGGGGAGUGAAAGCGAAAGUCAGUGGCAACCUAUUGAAGGAAUUAGCACCCAUGCCCAGCUGGGAAGUGGAUUCAUCAUUUCCGUUUACCUUUCUGAGAAGGGAAAGAGCAGAAAAAGGUGCCAAGUGCUGCAAUGCUGUGACAUGGCAUCGGAUUUUGCACACAGAACAGCCCAUAUGUGAUGCUCUAUGUAUAGAACACCAGGCGCAGCUGAUUCCAAAAUCAUCCUUAAUGCUUCUCACAUACGUCUUAUGAGGGCAUCGGAUCUGAAAGUGUCCCAAAUGCUUCUGCUGCCGAGCUUUCUAGUACUUGGACAUCGCUGGACAGCAGAGGAGAAUUGGUGCCCCAUAAUUUGAUGAUAAAACAUCUGGGCGCUGCCGAGAAUGCAAAGUCUUGGCAGCAGGGCACUGUGUGCAUCUUACCUCCUCGGUGACCCCACCACCCAGCACAUCAGAGACACUGCUAAAUAUUUUGAAAUUAACCCAGAUGUUCCCCACGAGGAAGAAGAGAGGAUUCAUGAGAAGGGAGGGUCAGGUCCCCCACGUCCCUAUGAGCCCACAACAAUCCUUCGGCUGAUCGCCCCUGGCAAGGUCUCGUGUCCUAAAAAACAUAUUCUGCUAAUGAACUCAUCACUGGAUUUAUCCACUCAGUGAAGUCAGUUCCCCUCAUAAUCCAACCACCUCUCUAGGAAGCUCUUCAUUCCAGUCAAGCAAACUGCCUUCCAGCUUAUUCAUCCACUGCAGAUAACUGGACAAGAAGCUUUACAAGGCUCUUCCCAACUCUCACAGGAGAUGAUUCCAUGAUUGUCUUCAUAAUCACUACCUGUUAUGGCUUGUGUCUAGAUGUCCCCCAGAACUUCAUGUGGUCAUAGAGGGUGCUUUUCAGAAGUGGCUGGAUCUAGAGUGUGAUCCUAGGACUAAGUGUGUGAUGCUGGGAUCAAGGAUGUGUGACUACUAAAUUAGCCCACUGAUUGGUUUAGCAUAGUUCUAAGAGCAGAUAAUGGGAAGGUCCACCCUGAGUGUGAGUGCUACCUGCUCUAAGGGUGUGUGGCCUGGAAAGAAUAUAAGGGACAGAAAGAGGGCUGCUGUGGUUGCUUGCUGCUUGAUGAUUACUACUUCUCUGCUUUGCUGCCUUCCUGCCUUCUGCCCACCAUGAACUGUUUCUCCUCUGUGAUGCCCCUCUGCUAUGCCACCCUGCCUAGAAGCCAGCCGACUAUGAACUGAAACCUCUACAAACUGUGAGGCAAAACAAACCUUUCCACCUUUAAGUGUCAAGUUUUUGUCUCAGCAAUGAGAAAAGUAAUUAAGACACCAUCUAAAGGCACUUGUCUUCUUGGGUCUUUGUUUCCUCAUCUGUCAAAUGUCCAGAUACUCUCCAGAGCUAUCUACCUCUAACUUCCAAGAUUUAUGAAAGGCAGAGUUAAAGCCCAAGGAUCCCUUGCAGCACUUAGUGGAAGAAACACAAGAAACCAGCCCAAAACCAUAACAGAAGGGUUUCCAUACACAAGCAGGACUUAUUUCCACAAGUCUUUCAGAAGUGCCCUAUCCACUAAGGAGAAUUUUGUACACUGAGAGCUUCAUCCAGUUGUUCUAAUUUGAUGGAAAGUCAGCUGAAGAGGAGCUAACCAGUUGCUGGGUCCAGAAUGCUGGGAAGACAGGAUAGAAAUCAACAGAGAGACAUCAGAACUAGAAUGACCAUAAUAGACCCUUUGUUCUCUGCUGCUUAAUAAUAGCAAGCUCGUUCCCACAGCUCUUUGUAGCUUGUGUGGUGCUUCCUGCAUGCAUCAUUCCAUUUAAGCAAUGGGACAACCUGGCCAAAUGGAUAGCAUUUUUGUUUCCAUUUUGCAGCCAAGUUACCAAGGCUUGGGGAUAUUUGCUAACUUGUGAUACUAGACUAGGAUUUGCACUGAG
Molecule: long non-coding RNA, 2483 nt
Filed under: Heterocephalus glaber (naked mole-rat)
Lineage: Eukaryota; Metazoa; Chordata; Mammalia; Rodentia; Bathyergidae
Description: lncRNA (ENSHGLG00100048394.1)
Source: RNAcentral